This 468-nucleotide ribosomal RNA is filed under the name uncultured bacterium. Its description in RNAcentral is "partial 16S ribosomal RNA". It matches the Rfam family "Bacterial small subunit ribosomal RNA", at positions 28 to 507 of the family's 1533-position model. The record is from RNAcentral.
GACGAACGCUGGCGGCGUGCUUAACACAUGCAAGUCGAACGGAAAGGCCCUGCUUUUGUGGGGUGCUCGAUUGGCGAACGGGUGAGUAACACGUGAGUAACCUGCCCUUGACUUUGGGAUAACUUCAGGAAAAUGGGGCUAAUACCGGAUAGGAGCUCCUGCCGCAUGGUGGGGGUUGGAAAGUUUCGGCGGUUGGGGAUGGACUCGCGGCUUAUCAGCUUGUUGGUGGGGUAGUGGCUUACCAAGGCUUUGACGGGUAGCCGGCCUGAGAGGGUGACCGGCCACAUUGGGCCUGCGAUACGGCGCAGACGGGUACGGGAGGCAGCAGGGGAGAAUCUGGCGCAGUGGGCGGAAGCCUGAUGCAGCAGCGCCGCGUGCGGGAUGACGGCCUUCGGGUUGUAAACCGCUGUCGAAGGUGACGAAGCGUGAGUGACGGUAAUGGGUCAGGAAGCACCGGCUAACUACGUG